ACUAGCCUAUUGGGGUCGGCUAGAAACCAAGUGAGGUAUGGGAGUAUACCUCACUUCCUACGCAACCAGAGAAUCUAGGUUCGGGGACUUGAUUACACUAAUUAAUCAAUUAGUGCCCUUUCGGUACCUAAUCUUGUUCAUUUUAACAAAAUGAUUUUUGACAGACAGUUUGGAUUAAUUUUAUACUUAUCCACUAACAUGUAAGGUGAUCAUGCGGGUGCGCAAUCAUUAAAGUAAACAUCAUAAUUAUCAAGAUUCUAAUUGCCAUAAAAUUAAACACAUGCAAUCAAACAUAAUUAGAUAUGCAAAUUAAACAUGCAACAUAAUC
This 328-nucleotide long non-coding RNA is filed under the name Eucalyptus grandis. RNAcentral describes it as "long non-coding RNA (EGRA_LNC002620)". Lineage: Eukaryota; Viridiplantae; Streptophyta; Magnoliopsida; Myrtales; Myrtaceae. The record is from RNAcentral.